This 76-nucleotide transfer RNA is filed under the name Dicranum scoparium. RNAcentral describes it as "partial tRNA-Leu". Lineage: Eukaryota; Viridiplantae; Streptophyta; Bryopsida; Dicranales; Dicranaceae. The record is from RNAcentral.
CCUUAGUAGAAAAACUUACUAAAUGCCCUCUACCCCCAAAACUAGAAUUUUUUUCUAUUGACACAAGCUUCGAGUU